UUGGGUAUUGUGGACUAAUAGGAACUUUAUUGUGUGGGAAUAUAAAGGACAGUCUCUCUCACAAGUUUUCCAUAUGACCUCAUGGUUUCUACAAAAUUGGACUGUUGUUGCUGCUUCUUCCUUAGCUACUACUGCUGCACCAAGUUCAGACCACCUGCGUUCAUGGCAAUGGCCACCGAAAGGAUGGAUGAAGGUCAAUGUGAAUGCAUC
RNAcentral lists this long non-coding RNA (210 nucleotides) under Manihot esculenta (cassava). RNAcentral's name for it is "long non-coding RNA (MESC_LNC007554)". Lineage: Eukaryota; Viridiplantae; Streptophyta; Magnoliopsida; Malpighiales; Euphorbiaceae. The record is from RNAcentral.